This 427-nucleotide ribosomal RNA is filed under the name uncultured bacterium. RNAcentral describes it as "bacterial SSU rRNA". It matches the Rfam family "Bacterial small subunit ribosomal RNA", at positions 954 to 1378 of the family's 1533-position model. The record is from RNAcentral.
GCAGAACGCGAAGAACCUUACCGGCUCUUGACAUGUCUCGUAUGGAUUUCAGAGAUGAGAUCCUUCAGUUCGGCUGGCGAGAACACAGGUGCUGCAUGGCUGUCGUCAGCUCGUGUCGUGAGAUGUUGGGUUAAGUCCCGCAACGAGCGCAACCCUCGCCCUUAGUUGCCAUCAUUAAGUUGGGCACUCUAAGGGGACUGCCGGUGAUAAGCCGCGAGGAAGGUGGGGAUGACGUCAAGUCCUCAUGGCCCUUACGGGCCGGGCUACACACGUGCUACAAUGGCGGUGACAAUGGGAUGCAAUGGAGCGAUCCUGCGCAAAUCUCAAAAAGCCGUCUCAAUUCGGAUUGGGGUCUGCAACUCGACCCCAUGAAGUCGGAAUCGCUAGUAAUCGCAGAUCAGCACGCUGCGGUGAAUACGUUCCCGGG